CUGUGUGUAAUACUGGUGUUYGAGACGUGACAGAUCCACAGCCAUAUUUUAAAAAAAGAGGUUGGCAUAUUCAUGAGAAUGCAAAGUUACAAAAAAUAUUUGAAGACUGGAGAAAAUGCAGAAAAUGGCCACAGCGAGUCAGUUGCUGCCCCAGGAGACACAAGCACUGGAAGCUGGCUCUGCCAGGUGUAGCCACUACUUGGAUCGAACUCCCCAUCUGGGUGGGAGUAGAAGCAUAAGCACUGCCCAGGAAGGAAUUUUGCAGGAAUGAUACUGUUUCGAAAGAGAAAGAUGUUCAAAUCACAGGAAAGGCUAAUUCCUACCUAUCCUGCUGCAGCCUGCUGUCAGUCAAGUGUGGACACUGGUUUGAGUGACAAGUCAUUCUCCUAAUACUCUUUGUGGAAAUAAAGCAUUUGGAGAAGGAAAGCA
Molecule: long non-coding RNA, 429 nt
Filed under: Dromaius novaehollandiae (emu)
Lineage: Eukaryota; Metazoa; Chordata; Aves; Casuariiformes; Dromaiidae
Description: lncRNA (ENSDNVG00000011788.1)
Source: RNAcentral